CUUGGUAAUUGCUGCCUCUUGAGUACAGCUCCACUGAGCUAACCAAACAGGAUCGGUUGUUUGCUUGGAAUGACACUCUUCCCACAAAGUUUUUCAGCAAAAAUGUGCCUAUGUGGUCUGGAGUGUCCCUUUAAAUGUCUUUUAAGUUGUGUAUCAUGCUCUGGGAAUACUUGUCAUAUUGGUAAGUGUUCUAUUUUACAGCAGUGUAGCUGUGAUUUAUUAUUUCUAAAAGAUCUGGGGUGACACGGUUGUACAUAACUGUUCCUAUACCAACAUGCGUUCUCUUUUACGUCGAGAAGG
Pelobates cultripes (western spadefoot toad) is the source of this 300-nucleotide non-coding RNA. The record is from the annotation of a GenBank genome assembly. Lineage: Eukaryota; Metazoa; Chordata; Amphibia; Anura; Pelobatidae.